RNAcentral lists this small nucleolar RNA (112 nucleotides) under Dasypus novemcinctus (nine-banded armadillo). RNAcentral describes it as "Small nucleolar RNA SNORA31 (ENSDNOG00000044943.1)". Lineage: Eukaryota; Metazoa; Chordata; Mammalia; Cingulata; Dasypodidae. The record is from RNAcentral.
AUGCAUGUCACGAAUGUCUGCUGGUAAGGUUUCCACUACAGAUGCAAGAGAAAAAGGUCCUUGCAUUUUCUGUCAGGUUGUGGCAACUAAGAUUGAAUGGGGGAGUACAGAA